UUGAACUCUGCAAAUUGACACCGUAACUUCGGGAGAAGGUGUGCCUCCUGUGGUGAGUGGACUUGCUCCACGAGCUGCGAGAGGUCUCAGUAAAUUGGGGGCUGCGACUGUUUACCAAAAACACAGCACUCUGCGAACACGAAAGUGGAUGUAUAGGGUGUGACGCCUGCCCGGUGCCGGAAGGUUAAUUGAUGGGGUCAGCCGCAAGGCGAAGCUCCUGAUCGAAGCCCCGGUAAACGGCGGCCGUAACAAUAACGGUCCUAAGGUAGCGAAAUUCCUUGUCGGGUAAGUUCCGACCUGCACGAAUGGCGUAACGCUGGCCCCACUGUCUCGACCCGAGACUCAGUGAAGUUGAAAUCGCUGUGAAGAUGCGGCGUACCUGCGGCAAGACGGAAAGACCCCGUGAACCUUUACUAUAGCUUUACACUGAACUUUGAACCUGUUUGUGUAGGAUAGGUGGGAGGCUUUGAAGCGUGGACGCUAGUCCGCGUGGAGCCAACCUUGAAAUACCACCCUGGCAUGUUCGGAGUUCUAACCCUGGUCCGUGAUCCGGAUCGGGAACAGUGUAUGGUGGGUAGUUUGACUGGGGCGGUCUCCUCCUAAAGAGUAACGGAGGAGUGCAAAGGUACCCUCAGCGCGGUCGGUCAUCGCGCACAGAGUGCAAUGGCAUAAGGGUGCUUAACUGCGAGACGGACAUGUCGAGCAGUAGCGAAAGCUGGUCAUAGUGAUCCGGUGGUUCUGUAUGGAAGGGCCAUCGCUCAACGGAUAAAAGGUACUCCGGGGAUAACAGGCUUAUUCCUCCCAAGAGUCCACAUCGACGGAGGAGUUUGGCACCUCGAUGUCGGCUCAUCUCAUCCUGGGGCUGUAGCAGGUCCCAAGGGUAUGGCUGUUCGCCAUUUAAAGUGGUACGCGAGCUGGGUUCAGAACGUCGUGAGACAGUUCGGUCCCUAUCUGCCGUAGGCGUUGGAGAAUUGAGGGUGAGCUGCUCCUAGUACGAGAGGACCGGAGUGGACGCACCUCUGGUGUUCCGGUUGUCACGCCAGUGGCAUUGCCGGGUAGCUAUGUGCGGACGGGAUAACCGCUGAAAGCAUCUAAGCGGGAAGCCCCCCCCAAGAUUAGUUCUCCCUGGGAACUCGAUUCCCCUGAAGGGCCGUCACAGACUAUGACGUUGAUAGGCUGGGUGUGUACACGCAGCAAUGCGUUGAGCUGACCAGUACUAAUUGCCCGUGAGGCUUGACUA
RNAcentral lists this ribosomal RNA (1240 nucleotides) under metagenome. RNAcentral's name for it is "bacterial LSU rRNA". It matches the Rfam family "Bacterial large subunit ribosomal RNA", at positions 1708 to 2925 of the family's 2925-position model. The record is from RNAcentral.